UCUGCAGGUGGUUUCUUAAGUCUACUGUUAAAUCUUGAGGCUCAACCUCAAAUCUGCAGUAAGAAACUAGGAGACUUGAGUAUAGUAGGGGUAGAGGGAAUUUCCAGUGGAGCGGUGAAAUGCGUAGAUAUUGGAAAGAACACCGAUGGCGAAGGCACUCUACUGGGCUAUUACUGACACUCAGAGACGAAAGCGUAGGGGAGCAAAUG
Molecule: ribosomal RNA, 209 nt
Filed under: uncultured bacterium
Lineage: Bacteria
Description: partial 16S ribosomal RNA
Rfam family: Bacterial small subunit ribosomal RNA
Source: RNAcentral